This is a long non-coding RNA of Oenanthe melanoleuca, 655 nucleotides long. RefSeq lists it as uncharacterized. Lineage: Eukaryota; Metazoa; Chordata; Aves; Passeriformes; Muscicapidae. The record is from RefSeq and is a predicted model, not a curated record. The transcript is spliced from 6 exons.
GCCUGGUAAUAGGAAUCUGCUGAUUUCAAGUUGUAAGGCUCUCCAUGUUUGUUUCUAGGUACGAUGGAAAGGAGGUUUUCAGUGGCGUCAAGUACAUUGUGCAUUAAGCACUUCAUGGAAGGACUAUCACAAGUCGAAGAAUACUUGGUACACACAAGUGGAUUUUCCUGAAAGCCAUACUGGCAUGAACAGUUUCUAGUAACAGGAAUGUGACAUAUCCUGAAGAAAUAUUUCCUCGCAGCAGGAAAUAAAACCGAGAGAUGCUUGAAUGCUGCUUCUGAACAGAAGGAAAACGUGUUUUAUAAAAAACGAGUAGGAACAAGAGCUUUUGGCUUUUUCAGUGAUGAAUUGGAACACUUUGUCAGAACUGCUUGACAAAUGUGUAUGAUGUAACCAGAAGGAAGUGUAACCUGAAGAGAUUGUGGCUUGGAGUGGGAUGUCAUGCUUUUAAAAGCCUACUGAAACAGCUGCAAUUUUGUUCAGUAGAUACUGUCUUCAGAAAGAGUGUGUGGACCAAAAUUACUGUCUAUGCAUAUUUAAAACAUUGUCUUUCUAAAACACUUAACUGUCUUCUCUAGGAAGUGUAGCAGUAUUAGGGAAAGGAGUGUUGAGCUUCAGUACAUGGAAAACUUUUUGAAAUGGUCCAAACUAUAUA